CACAAUUAAUAAAAUAAUCUGAAGGACGAGGUAGACAUACUAUCAAUCCAGAAAAAAUAUUAUUGUUAGCAAUAUGGAUGAUGGCAACUCCUAAUUCAUAUAGAUGUAUUGCUGAUCGAUUUGAUGUAGGAAAAGCAACAGCUUGGAGAUGUGUUCAGAAAGUUGUGAAUGCAUUAUAUUCACAUCUUAACACAUUCAUUACAUGACCAGAUAGUAGAAGAAGUGAAGAAAUUUGGACACAUAUUAAAAACAAAUAUAAAUUUCCAAAAGUAAUAGGAGCAAUAGACGGAACUCACAUAAAAAUUGCAUCCUGAUGCUUAUAUAAAUAGAAAGGGUUACCAUUCCAUACAGUUACAGAUAAUAUGCGAUCAUGAAUUAAAAAUCACUCAUGUUUAUGCAGGACAGGUUAGAUCUGUACACGAUAUGAGAGUAUUUAGAUUAUCUGAUUUUGAAAAUAUAUGUACUGCACAAAAUUUUCCCGAAAAUAGCCAUUUAUUAGAUGAUACCGCAUAUAGUAUCCAAAAAUAUAUAAUGGUUCCAUUUAAAAAUAAUGGACAUUUGACAAACGCACAAGUUCAGUAUAAUACCUGUUUAUCUCAAGCGAGGAUGAUGGUUGAGAGAACAAUAGGCUUGUUAAAAGGAAGAUUUCGAAGUCUUUUAGAUAUAUUACCUAUGAGAAGAACUGAUUUAAUACCAAAAUAUAUUUAUGCUUGUUGCAUUUUACAUAACAUAUGUCUAAUCCGUAAUGAUUAUUUUGAUAUCUCAAUUAUUGUGCAACAAAAUCAACCUAUACCUAUAAAAUCAACA
Long non-coding RNA from Camponotus floridanus (Florida carpenter ant), 807 nucleotides. RefSeq lists it as uncharacterized. NCBI's taxonomy places the organism in Eukaryota, Metazoa, Arthropoda, Insecta, Hymenoptera, Formicidae. The record is from RefSeq and is a predicted model, not a curated record. The transcript is spliced from 3 exons.